This 404-nucleotide ribosomal RNA is filed under the name Acidobacteriota bacterium. Its description in RNAcentral is "Acidobacteria bacterium partial 16S ribosomal RNA". It matches the Rfam family "Bacterial small subunit ribosomal RNA", at positions 355 to 776 of the family's 1533-position model. The record is from RNAcentral. Lineage: Bacteria; Pseudomonadati; Acidobacteriota.
UGGGGAAUAUUGCACAAUGGGGGAAACCCUGAUGCAGCGACGCCGCGUGAGCGAUGAAGUAUUUCGGUAUGUAAAGCUUUAUCAGCAGGGAAGAUAAUGACGGUACCUGACUAAGAAGCUCCGGCUAAAUACGUGCCAGCAGCCGCGGUAAUACGUAUGGAGCAAGCGUUAUCCGGAAUUACUGGGUGUAAAGGGAGCGUAGGCGGUCCUGCAAGUCUGAUGUGAAAACCCGGGGCUCAACCCCGGGACUGCAUUGGAAACUGUAGGACUAGAGUGUCGGAGGGGUAAGUGGAAUUCCUAGUGUAGCGGUGAAAUGCGUAGAUAUUAGGAGGAACACCAGUGGCGAAGGCGGCUUACUGGACGACCACUGACGCUGAGGCUCGAAAGCGUGGGGAGCAAACAGG